GGCUCCUGGACCAACCUUCCAGAGUCCGGUAGCUGCACAGCCCCAGAUCAUCCGGCCACGGACUGAUCCGGGAGGCCAGAAAGCCGGCAAGACGGAAUUGCCCGUCUUGGACGGUGCCGGCAGCGGACCGUCUGGGCGUCGGUUUGUGUCACUGGCAACCAUCACUCGCACUUAAACCGGGCCCAGGUGCCCAUAGAAGGCAGAAAUGGUGGACACGGAUCGCUCUCAAGGAUGCUCCGCUCCGAGCCCGUCACCUAGGAUCAUCUGGGCUGUUUCUGCUGUCCGGGGACGCCGCCGUGGAAGCGAUUCGGCAGGGCGCUCGCCACCAACCGCUCUCCAAGUUUGUGCUGAAUGGAGGCAAAAGGUUGGCUUUUCGCUUGCGGGGUGGUGGAAGGAAGCAGAACUUUGAUGACACUUCUCGGUCGGCUCUUGGCGUGUCUGUGACUGCCUUCGCUGAGAGGUGCGCUGCGGGUGUCCGGCGAGGAAGAAAGAAGGGUUCGCAGCGCGCGGGGCCUGGGCGUGGAGGUGCGCUUUGCGGCUCCGCUCCGCCCCGGGCUGCAGGGCCUGGACGGUUUCUGUUCAGUAGGGUGUGUGUUACGAGCGUGGAUAGGACAGAGAUCCAGACACAAAGACAGACAAGGCAUCAGUUACUGCAGUGGGCUGGAUCUGUGUGAACUCCGAGAGCGAGAUUCGGUAACUGGGUGCAGCUGGUGCGUGUGGCUCGGUGCACAUCGGAGUCUGUGCGUUCGAGGCUUGUGUGCGGAACUGGUUGUCCACGUGUUUCGACUGGGGUUGCCCGCGCUUGUGCCUCGUUCCUACCAGGUGCCAACCAUACUGCAGCACAGGAAUGGGAACUCAGCAGCAAAGGAAGCAAACAAGGUAGACAGACACAUGGAGUUUACAUUUCAGCGAGGAGACAGCCAUAAACAAGCAAAGAAGUAAUUCUCUCCAGACAAGGAUUUGUACCAUUACAUGAAGAAACUACAACAAUAACCACAGGCCCCAUGACAUCAUUACAUAUAAGGACAGCAGCUAUCAGACAAAGAAACCCACAUUUGAACCAGUGAUCUGUGAGAAGUGGGAUUCAAACUGGUGUGUUUGUCCCCCUUGAAAAGCAGGAAGAGGAAGGCGCUGGAGUGGUUUCUUUCAAAAUAAUAACAGAGCUUUCGUGACUAUUUCUGUGAGUGAGG
Molecule: long non-coding RNA, 1190 nt
Filed under: Heterocephalus glaber (naked mole-rat)
Lineage: Eukaryota; Metazoa; Chordata; Mammalia; Rodentia; Bathyergidae
Description: lncRNA (ENSHGLG00000037086.1)
Source: RNAcentral